This 266-nucleotide ribosomal RNA is filed under the name uncultured bacterium. RNAcentral describes it as "partial 16S ribosomal RNA". It matches the Rfam family "Bacterial small subunit ribosomal RNA", at positions 524 to 787 of the family's 1533-position model. The record is from RNAcentral.
UACGUAGGGCGCAAGCGUUUGUCCGGAAUUAUUGGGCGUAAAGAGCUCGUAGGCGGUCUGUCGCGUCGGCUGUGAAAACCCGAGGCUCAACCUCGGGCCUGCAGUCGAUACGGGCAGACUAGAGUGCGGUAGGGGAGAUUGGAAUUCCUGGUGUAGCGGUGGAAUGCGCAGAUAUCAGGAAGAACACCCGUGGCUAAGGCGGCUCUCUAGUACGGUACUGACGCUGAGACGCGAAAGCGUGGGGAGCGAACAGGAUUAAGAAACCC